Lycium ferocissimum is the source of this 761-nucleotide long non-coding RNA. RefSeq lists it as uncharacterized. NCBI's taxonomy places the organism in Eukaryota, Viridiplantae, Streptophyta, Magnoliopsida, Solanales, Solanaceae. The record is from RefSeq and is a predicted model, not a curated record. The transcript has 2 exons.
UUAAUGUUGAUUUAGGAAUAUUUAUGAGAAUAAGAGUUAUAAUUAUUGUGUUCGUGUUGUUGAUUUAUGGAUAGAAGUUUGAAGAGAGUUUUGGAUGAAAAUAUACAUAUUUGUCUUGUAGAAUCUUGAUGAUAUUGUUGUUGAUGUUGUUGGUAUUGUUUGGGAGUUGUUUUGGUAUUUGGAGGAAGUGAAUAAUAUAGGGGAGAUGCUGCCCAAAUUUUCGUAACCCAAAUUAGUCUUCAAUGAGUAAUGCUUACAAGUUGAUGGAAAUAUAAUGGAAGUAUGAUUUAAGAUGUAUUUCUCGAUGUAUAUGUUCGGGUGAAGGGCAAGCAUCGGAGUAAGGGAUUCUUUAAGUGGUGGCUUGACGGAUAAGCCUUACAUACUCAGUACUUUUAUCCGUACUGACGUCCCAUUGCACGGGACGCUGCAUUUCGUGCUGCAGGCGCUGACAGGGUUAUUGAGGAGCGACCGCAGUAGGAUUUUCCAGCUUCAGCGGUGUUAGCAAGUGCCACUUCUCCGGACUUGCUGUCUUUUGGCAUUUUUCUGCCAGUGUAGUAUAUGUUCAUAUGUACACUCUUAGAGGCUCAUAGACAUAGUGGGGUAUGUACAUAUUGUGUAUGGUCACGUUAGCCUUGUCUUGAUCUGUGAUACUUUCCUGUUAGCCUUGCCGGCUUUAUGAUACUCGUGAUGUUGUGGCGACCUUGUCGAUUCGCUUAUGUACAGAUAUGUUGGAUUAUUGGAUAUUUCUAUGUUGGGCCUUU